GAUGAAGAACGUAGCGAAAUGCGAUAAGUAAUGUGAAUUGCAGAGUUCAGUGAAUCAUCGAAUCUUUGAACGUACAUUGCGCCCGUCAGUAUUCUGACGGGCAUGCCUGUCCGAGCGUCAUUUCAACCCUCAAGCACUGCUUGGCGUUGGCGGAUUGCGUGCCCUCGCGGCGCUGCAACCGCCCAAAUACAGUGGCGGUCCCGCUGCGGCUCCCUUUGCGUAGUAACUCACCUCGCACUGGACCGGGCGGCGGCCUGCCGUAAAACCCCAACUCACGAAAUGUUGACCUCGGAUCAGGUAGGAAUACCCGCUGAACUUAAGCAUAUCAAUAAGCGGAGGA
This 340-nucleotide unclassified non-coding RNA is filed under the name soil metagenome. RNAcentral describes it as "partial contains 5.8S ribosomal RNA, internal transcribed spacer 2, and large subunit ribosomal RNA". The stretch from base 1 to 120 matches the Rfam family "5.8S ribosomal RNA", at positions 35 to 154 of the family's 154-position model. The record is from RNAcentral.